AACCAUGAUUUGGGCACGCACUUAGAAGAUACUUAAACCUCCCCCAGAAUUUAAAGAAUGUUUCUUCCCAUUUCUGUGAAAAGUUUAUGAUGGCCCUUCUAAGGUU
Molecule: small nucleolar RNA, 106 nt
Organism: Magnolia sinica
Lineage: Eukaryota; Viridiplantae; Streptophyta; Magnoliopsida; Magnoliales; Magnoliaceae
Source: RefSeq, a predicted model, not a curated record